GACGAACGCUGGCGGCGUGCUUAACACAUGCAAGUCGAACGUGAUUUUUGUGGAAAUUCUUUCGGGAAUGGAAAUGAAAUGAAAGUGGCGAACGGGUGAGUAACACGUGAGCAACCUACCUUACACAGGGGGAUAGCCGUUGGAAACGACGAUUAAUACCGCAUGAGACCACAGAAUCGCAUGAUAUAGGGGUCAAAGAUUUAUCGGUGUAAGAAGGGCUCGCGUCUGAUUAGCUAGUUGGAAGGGUAAAGGCCUACCAAGGCGACGAUCAGUAGCCGGUCUGAGAGGAUGAACGGCCACAUUGGAACUGAGACACGGUCCAAACUCCUACGGGAGGCAGCAGUGGGGAAUAUUGCACAAUGGGGGGAACCCUGAUGCAGCGACGCCGCGUGAGCGAAGAAGGUUUUCGAAUCGUAAAGCUCUGUCCUAUGAGAAGAUAAUGACGGUAUCAUAGGAGGAAGCCCCGGCUAAUACGUG
This 477-nucleotide ribosomal RNA is filed under the name uncultured bacterium. Its description in RNAcentral is "partial 16S ribosomal RNA". It matches the Rfam family "Bacterial small subunit ribosomal RNA", at positions 28 to 507 of the family's 1533-position model. The record is from RNAcentral.